This 81-nucleotide small nucleolar RNA is filed under the name Erythranthe guttata (spotted monkey flower). RNAcentral's name for it is "Mimulus guttatus (spotted monkey flower) Small nucleolar RNA R16". It matches the Rfam family "Small nucleolar RNA R16". Rfam says of the family: snoR16 is a member of the C/D class of snoRNA which contain the C (UGAUGA) and D (CUGA) box motifs. Most of the members of the box C/D family function in directing site-specific 2'-O-methylation of substrate RNAs. Lineage: Eukaryota; Viridiplantae; Streptophyta; Magnoliopsida; Lamiales; Phrymaceae. The record is from Rfam by way of RNAcentral.
AUUGGGAAAUGAUGAAUAGAUUUAUCCUACACGCUGAAUAUCCGUGUUGAUUAAUAUCUCCGCUUAUUGUCUGAUUCCAUU